RNAcentral lists this small nuclear RNA (264 nucleotides) under Chinchilla lanigera (long-tailed chinchilla). RNAcentral describes it as "7SK RNA (ENSCLAG00000021423.1)". It matches the Rfam family "7SK RNA". Rfam says of the family: 7SK was discovered as an abundant small nuclear RNA in the mid-70s but a possible function has only recently been suggested. Two independent studies have found that 7SK RNA binds the CDK9/cyclin T complex (known as elongation factor P-TEFb). Lineage: Eukaryota; Metazoa; Chordata; Mammalia; Rodentia; Chinchillidae. The record is from RNAcentral.
GUGAAGGUGAUCUGGCUGCGACAUCGGUCACCCCAUGGAUCAUCAGGGUCGAUUAUUUGGUUGAUCUGGCUGGCCAGGAAGGUGUCCCUUUCCUCCCUCACAUGAGCGUCCCUCCUGAAGCUGAAGCUGUGAAGCUGUGUGCUUGGUCAAAGAGGACGACCACCCCCAAAGAGGAGGACAGUUUCCUGCGCUCUCCUGCUAGAACUUCCAAACAAGCUCUCAAAAAGGGGCUGCCUAAUAACUAUCUGCAAAAUGUUCAUUUUU